RNAcentral lists this ribosomal RNA (1232 nucleotides) under metagenome. RNAcentral describes it as "bacterial LSU rRNA". It matches the Rfam family "Bacterial large subunit ribosomal RNA", at positions 1703 to 2925 of the family's 2925-position model. The record is from RNAcentral.
UGAGAAGGAACUCGGCAAAUUGGUACCGUAACUUCGGGAUAAGGUACGCCCUUGUAGUUUGACUGGCCUGCGCCAGAAGGACGAAGGGGUUGCAAUAAAUUGGUGGCUGCGACUGUUUAAUAAAAACACAGCACUCUGCAAACACGAAAGUGGACGUAUAGGGUGUGACUCCUGCCCGGUGCUGGAAGAUUAAAUGAUGGGGUGCAAGCUCUUGAUUGAAGUCCCAGUAAACGGCGGCCGUAACGAUAACGGUCCUAAGGUAGCGAAAUUCCUUGUCGGGUAAGUUCCGACCUGCACGAAUGGAGUAACGAUGGCCACACUGUCUCCUCCCGAGACUCAGCGAAGUUGAAAUGUUUGUGAUGAUGCAAUCUACCCGCGGCUAGACGAAAGACCCCAUGAACCUUUACUGUAGCUUUGCAUUGGACUUUGAACCAAUCUGUGUAGGAUAGGUGGGAGGCUUUGAAGCGGGGACGCCAGUUCUCGUGGAGCCAACCUUGAAAUACCACCCUGGUUUGUUUGAGGUUCUAACCUUGGUCCGUUAUCCGGAUCGGGGACAGUGCAUGGUAGGCAGUUUGACUGGGGCGGUCUCCUCCCAAAGUGUAACGGAGGAGUUCGAAGGUACGCUAAUUACGGUCGGACAUCGUGAUGAUAGUGCAAUGGCAUAAGCGUGCUUAACUGCGAGACUGACAAGUCGAGCAGGUACGAAAGUAGGACAUAGUGAUCCGGUGGUUCUGUAUGGAAGGGCCAUCGCUCAACGGAUAAAAGGUACUCUGGGGAUAACAGGCUGAUUCCUCCCAAGAGUUCAUAUCGACGGGGGAGUUUGGCACCUCGAUGUCGGCUCAUCACAUCCUGGGGCUGUAGCCGGUCCCAAGGGUAUGGCUGUUCGCCAUUUAAAGUGGUACGUGAGCUGGGUUUAAAACGUCGUGAGACAGUUUGGUCCCUAUCUGCCGUGGGCGUUGGAAAUUUGAAGGGGGCUGCUCCUAGUACGAGAGGACCGGAGUGGACGAACCUCUGGUGUACCGGUUGUCACGCCAGUGGCAUUGCCGGGUAGCUAAGUUCGGAAGAGAUAACCGCUGAAAGCAUCUAAGCGGGAAACUUGCCUUGAGAUGAGAUUUCCCGGAGCUUUAAGCUCCUUAAAGGGUCGUUCGAGACCAGGACGUUGAUAGGCUGGGUGUGGAAGUGCAGUAAUGCAUUAAGCUAACCAGUACUAAUUGCCCGUAAGGCUUGUCCCU